AGCGAACGCUGGCGGCAUGCCUAACACAUGCAAGUCGCACGGGGGGGCUGCGGCCUCCCGGUGGCGGACGGGGGGGGAACGCGUAGGGUCCUGUCGAGGGGGGGGGGAUAACCGCGGGAAACUGCAGCGAAUGCCGCAUGACGCCGCGACGUCACAGCCGGGACCAAAGGCGGAAGCCGACCUCCGAGGGGCGUGCGUCGGAAUAGGCGGAUGGCGGGGUAGCGGCUCACCAAGGCGUCGACCCGUAACUGGGCCGAGAGGCUGAUCAGCCACACCGGGGCUGAGACACGGUCCGGACUCCUGCGGGAGGGGGGAGUGGGGAAUAUUGGACAAUGGGGGCAGGGCUGAAGCAGCAAUGGCGGGUGAGUGAAGAAGUUCGGCGGAUUGUGAAGCCCGUUAGGCGGGGGCGAUGGUGACGGUACCCGAAGAAGAAGCACCGGCUAACUUCGUG
Molecule: ribosomal RNA, 451 nt
Filed under: uncultured bacterium
Lineage: Bacteria
Description: partial 16S ribosomal RNA
Rfam family: Bacterial small subunit ribosomal RNA
Source: RNAcentral